AGGUCACCUAGCUUUCGCCUUGGCCCAUAAGUUGCAUAGGACAGUGGGCUGGUCCUGGGGGCUGUUGUGGGGAGGUGGGGAAUUUGAAGAACACCCUGGCUCCCUCCAUCAUGGCCAAGAGGGCAGAACUGAAGAAGACAAACCUGAACAAGAACUACAAGGCAGUUUGCCUGGAGUUGAAGCCAGAGCCAACCAGAGCAAGAAGUGUUUUUGUGGGCAUGCCAGGAGCCAGGCCUGAGAUCCAUGGGGAGACAUAUGACUACAAAGAAGUUAAACACAAAGGGCCAUUCACCAAAACAGGAAUGACACAGGAGCUAAAGAAUGAACUCAGGGAGGUGAGAGAAGAACUCAAGGAAAAAAUGGAGGAGAUAAAACAGAUAAAAGAUAUAAUGGACAAAGAUUUUGAUAAGCUUCAUGAAUUUGUGGAAAUUAUGAAGGAAAUGCAGAAGGAUAUGGAUGAGAAGAUGGACAUUUUACUAAAUAUACAGAAGGACAACAAACUAGGAUCAAAGGAGCAGCAGCCCCUCAGGCUGGUGGGAAGAGCUGACACAGACCCACAGCUCCAGCUCAAGAAAAUGGACAGAGCUAAUAGAGCACCCUGGCCUCUUCACAAAAAGACAAUGGCAUCACCAAAAGCAAAAAAGGACUCACCGGAUUCCCUUCAUCAGUGUAGCAGCUGCUGUCAAGGCUUGAUGAGGUGCCCGGCAGGUUGGCCACCUUGGACCAAGGAAAAAUGAUCUUUCUUGCACCAUUUCUGUCCUCUGCAGGAGAAACGUACAUUGUGUGCCUUAAAGACCAACUACAAUCAGGGCAGGAAACUUCCACACCAGGCCUAGGAAUCGUUUUCACCCUUGGCAUCUGGAGCUGCCUUCUGAUGUAUCUGUGCCUCUUCCCCGAUGAGAUGGAGUAUGUGCUUCCAACCUAGUGCAGCCGCAGAAUCUACCAGCAGCUCUGGUUCAUCUUCUCCCCACUCCUUGAGCUGUACAAGCAUUUGCUACCCUCUUUAACACCAUUCCUACCCAGGCCUCCACCCUGAGAUGAAAAAUCUUCAUUUAAAGCCAAAAGAAGUGUCCUCAUUUGAAUACUCGCCCCAAAUUGGGAUGUGCAGAGUGUUAGUAGUUUUGUCCUAAAUUAGCGUAUUUCCGAUUCCAAUACCUCUUCCAGUCCUGAAAAAUUGGUCAGAAGGGACAUCUUAGGAUCACAGGGCUCCCGCACUCUGCCUCCCUCCAUUCCACAUGGUUCAUAAAUGUCCCAGGAUACACCCCACUGCUCUACCCUCUAUGCCUCACCUCCUCCGAUCCUGCACUCUGCACGGGGCCUGGGCCUCACAGGUGACUCAAGGAACAUCCAGGCCUUGGUCUGACCUGCAGUGCUCCCCUCUGGUCUUAUCUUCAAGCAGCACCCAGAUCUCUGCUGCUCAUGGG
Heterocephalus glaber (naked mole-rat) is the source of this 1424-nucleotide RNA transcript. It is a transcript of the gene named testis expressed 35, with no coding region annotated. Lineage: Eukaryota; Metazoa; Chordata; Mammalia; Rodentia; Bathyergidae. The record is from RefSeq and is a predicted model, not a curated record.